This is an RNA transcript of Glycine soja, 3674 nucleotides long. It is a transcript of the gene named nuclear poly(A) polymerase 4-like, with no coding region annotated. The transcript has 13 exons. Lineage: Eukaryota; Viridiplantae; Streptophyta; Magnoliopsida; Fabales; Fabaceae. The record is from RefSeq and is a predicted model, not a curated record.
CGCUCCGCGAAAUAAAAAUCAGUUCUUAAAGUUACCCCCAAACGCUCCCUUAACCCACCCAAACCCCAAAAUCCGAAAAGGCGAAAACCGUCCUAUUCCUCGUUCGAAUUAGGGGCAUCUCUGAACUGGAUCAACCAGAUGCCAGCGAUUUGAGCGAUGCACACUGAAGAAGAAGAGGAAGAAGAAGAAGAAGAAGAAGAAGAAGAAGAAGAAGCUUCGUAGUGCGUUUGCGUUUCGUUCUUCCAAAUGGCGGUUUCCGACAGUCCCAGCGGCGGCUCCACGCCACCUCAACAGGAACAACAACCCAACAAGUACGCUUUCACCAAGCCCCUCUCUCUCGCGGGUCCCACCCACGCCGAUCUCCAGCGUAACAACGAAUUGGACAAGUUCUUGCUCGAUUCGGGGCUCUACGAGAGCAAUGAAGAAUCCGCGGCGAGGAAAGAGGUUCUUCACCGCCUUGAUCAGAUUGUGAAAAACUGGGUGAAGCAGUUGACGCGCCAACGUGGCUACACAGAUCAGAUGGUUGAGGAUGCAAAUGCUGUCAUUUUUACUUUUGGCUCUUACCGACUAGGGGUUCAUGGACCUGGAGUUGACAUAGACACUUUGUGCAUUGGUCCUUCUUAUGUGAACCGAGAGGAAGAUUUUUUUGUCAUUUUGCAUAACAUCCUGGCCGAAAUGGAAGAGGUUUCUGAACUUCAACCAGUUCCUGAUGCACAUGUUCCAGUAAUGAAAUUCAAAUUCCAGGGAAUAUCUAUAGAUUUGCUGUAUGCAAGUAUAUCACUUUUGGUUGUGCCAGAAGACCUAGAUAUUUCGCAUGGUUCAGUGCUGUAUGAUGUUGAUGAACCAACUGUUCGAAGUCUUAAUGGCUGCCGUGUGGCAGAUCAAAUUCUUAAACUUGUUCCAAAUGUUGAGCACUUCCGAACUGCAUUGAGAUGUUUAAAGUUUUGGGCUAAAAGGCGUGGUGUUUAUUCAAAUGUUACUGGAUUCCUUGGUGGUGUAAAUUGGGCUAUUUUAGUUGCUCGAAUUUGCCAGCUCUACCCUAAUGCAAUCCCCAGUAUGUUGGUUUCUCGAUUCUUCAGGGUCUAUACACAGUGGCGGUGGCCAAACCCUGUAAUGCUAUGCUCUAUAGAAGAGAAUGAACUGGGAUUCCCUAUAUGGGAUCCUCGUAGAAACCCCCGAGACAGAUUUCACACUAUGCCAAUAAUUACUCCCGCAUACCCUUGCAUGAAUUCAAGCUACAAUGUUUCGGCAAGCACUCUUCGUGUUAUGAUGGAACAGUUCCGCUAUGGCAAUAAGAUUUGUGAUGAAAUUGAGCUUAAUAAGGCCCAGUGGAGCGCACUUUUUCAGCCUUAUAUUUUUUUUGAGGCAUACAAAAACUAUUUACAAGUGGACAUAAUUGCAUCAGACGCGGAUGAUUUACUAGCAUGGAGGGGCUGGGUAGAAUCUCGGUUGAGACUGCUUACCCUGAAGAUAGAACGAGAUACAAAUGGGAUGCUGCAGUGCCAUCCUUACCCAAAUGAGUAUGUAGACACAUCCAAGCUGUGUGCACAUUCUGCAUUUUUCAUGGGCUUGCAAAGAAAAGAGGGAGUAAGAGGUCAAGAGGGGCAGCAAUUUGAUAUACGUGGAACAGUUGAUGAAUUCAGACAAGAAAUAAAUAUGUACAUGUACUGGAAGCCAGGGAUGGAUAUUUUUGUUUCUCAUGUUCGUCGAAAGCAACUCCCUGCAUUUGUUUUUCCUGGUGGUUACAAACGCACUCGAAUGCCAAGGCAUAUUAGCCAUCAAGCUGAAAAAACAGGUGAUGAUGCCACUAAGUGCUACUCUGGGUCUGGGUCUGGGUCGUCUGAAAGAUGCAUCAAGAGGAAAAGUUGCCCUGAAAUGGUGGAUAAGAAGCCAGGCAAACCAGAUAAGCGGGCAUCUAUUAGCCCACAAAGGUUAGAAUGUGUUUCUCCUGAAAGUUGUACUAGUAAAUCAGGUGGUACAACUCAAAUGAGUAUUGAGUGUAUCGAAGUGGUUAGGUUAGCUGGUUCAACAACCAAGGAUGCUAACGACAAUUGUGAAGUUAAGUCAUCUGAUGCACUCCCAGGAAGUGGACUAAGCACUGAGGUAGCUGACAUGCAGAUUAGUGAACCGGGCUUUGUUGACACCACACAUGAUAUGUUGAAAUCAAGGAGUGUUGAAAUUCCAAAUGAGAAUGGAGUUCUCAAUGGGGACAAAGCUCAGGAUCUAGCUUUAGAUUGCUUGGAAAGUGCAGAAACUGAAUCUACUAACAGCUUGUCAAACUAUAAAGAGGGAGACAAUGAUACGGAUCAGCGACUAGACAAAGAAUGUAAUUUCAUCCCAAGGGCUGAAUGUUCAGAUUAUGUACCAAAUGCCAGUUCCCAGAACCUCAAUUGCGAGGGUGAUGUUUGUGUGGCUGAUCCAGAUCAGUUCUGAAGAGUGGGUGUUUUCUUGGAAAUAGAGUAUUUCAAAAUAUUGGGGCUCAAGAAUAUAAGGUUUUGAAUUUUCUAAUCUCUUUGUUUUAUCGGUAAUAAAGACUAUCUGAUCUUAUAAUAAUACUUUUCACCUCAUCCUUCUUUGCAUUAUGCCUUUAUGGAAGUUACCAUAUUUCCUGGGUUUUCAGUAUAAAUAGAGUCUAAUCUUGUUCCUUUGGACUUCUUUGAUUUGAUUUUUUCUUCUUCUUACUUUUGUUAUAUAGCUUUGCUAGCAUAUUAUAGACAUUUCAGAUUGCAUUCUGUCCCUUUUCUCUUCCCAUCUUGUUGGGUCUUCUUACUAUAAACAACUGUUUUUAUCUUGUAUAUUCCUGUUUCUUUCAAGAUAAUUUAACUAUCAAUUUCCGUGGUAAGUGAAUUUCUUAGUGAGUUUUCUGACCGGUGAAUAUGUGGUCGCAGGUCUUGCACCACUAUACGUGCUAUGUUUCCAGUAACUGUGCUUAAGAACCUAACUUGUUUUGUGUAUAGAGGGGCUCAAAGACCAGACCUUCCUUUUUUUCAUUUUAUAAGUUUUUUGUUUGAUACUUUUUUCCCUAAUUGUUAUUAUUCUUUCUAUUUUCUAUAUUGUGUAUAUAGCCAGAUGUCAGACUCGGUAGUGCUGUAUAAAUUGAAGAAGGGGCUAGGAUGAUGAGUUUGGAGUGAAUCACCUGAUAUUUGGGAGGUGAAUGGCUGAAAUUGCUGCUCAUGCUGCUACCCUGUGCUAUGCUGUGGUUGUUGCUGUGCUGAGAUCCUCUGAUGUGAAGGGGACUAAGGUUAUAAUUGAACAGUGAGGAGCUGAUACAAAUGAUGGCUGUGAAAGAUUUGAGUUUGGGGUAUGGCAUUGCGAUGGAUGGUCGUAUGUGUACAUAGAUAAACCGCAUGAUGGAGACGCUUAAAAAUGUGGUCACAUCCUGUUGUGUGUGAAACAUGGGCUCAUGUCAUUUUCAGAGCUAUGAAUUGUCUCAUAAACCUUAAGAUAUUUACUUAUCUGGAUUUCAAAAGAGUGGGACCUUUGUUGUUUGCUUGUGAUGUGGAUGUGAUCGAUAAGUUAUGUAAAUGUAACAAAUAGCUAUUUCGGCUAGGUUAUUUGGAAGAGAAAACGGUAAAACAAAAAUUAUUUUGGCGGCAGAAUCUUAUCUAUCCUUGCUUUGGAAGUUACGGUGUGGAGGGUUAUUCUGUCAAUGGGGGGAUUCGUUGGUCUUUCAA